CGGCGCGGGUGGAAUUCCCGCGAUCUGUCUCAUUCCCUGCGCCGCCGAGAAAAGUGAGAUCCCGCGAGACUCCCAGGGGUCUCAUUCUGUCACCCAGGUUGGAGUGCAGUGGCAACAUCAUAGCUCACUGCAGCCUUGAACCCCUGGGCUCAAGUGAUCCUCCUGCUUCAGCCUCCUGAGUAGCUGGGGCUACAGGCACUUUCCCUACAUUUUCAAAGGCCUGCAUCAUCACAUCUGCCGCAGCAUUCUCUAUCAUUGAGACAUUUUCUCAGGAAAUCACCUGUGAAAUAUUUUGCAGCUAACCACCUACCUGUGCCCCACCAGCCAACAUGCUUUACUCCUGCCAGGCAGGUUCUCUGUAGCCCUCUGGAUUCUGUCUGCCUCUGUUAUAUCUUCACGAACAAGUUACGCAGCCUCAACUAAAGCUUGUAACAGAGCAAAGUUACUCUCCUGAGUGUGUCCUCUGAUGGAUGGUGAGAUAUAACUUCAAGAUGAAGCCUCACCCACACUCCCUGUACAAAAACGCUUCUCACCUGUGUCACUCUGGAAGCUUUGAUCAGAAAAUUGUAGUUGCUGUUGCCUCUGAUGUGCAAGUCCAAGAUUCUUGGGCCGCAGGACAUGUUCUGCAUAUAUUCCUGGAGAAUAGACCA
This 650-nucleotide non-coding RNA is filed under the name Pan troglodytes (chimpanzee). Lineage: Eukaryota; Metazoa; Chordata; Mammalia; Primates; Hominidae. The record is from RNAcentral.